UCUUUUCAAAAACCAAGAGAACACUUGAAGAGAAAUAACAGAGGAUGAGAGCUCACUGAAACUCUAAGACUGUGAUAGCUAUCUCCACCGCCAUCUCCGCCGCCUUCGCCGUCUCCUCUGCCAUUGCUGACGUCGUCACUACUAAAUUUCAUCUCCUUUAUGCUGUUGCCAGAAAGCUACUGAGAUCGAGUCAAGACGCCUCCUUUAUCAACACGUUUCUAGAUCUUGUCGCAAUGCCCAAGCCUCCGAGACCAAGAGAAAGCACCUCUUCUGUCAACUCUCCUCCACCAAUGACUCUCGUGUUCUCCAUCGGCAUUCUCUCGCUUCUAUAUGCUCUUCUUCGUUCCACUCAUUCUCAAUUUUCGAUUCUCUUUCUCUUUUUCCUUUUUAUUCAUUUUCUUUAUUUUUCAUUCUCAGAUUCUGAAUACUUUGCUAUAUGAUAUAACAGUCAAUGAGUUUUAUUAUCUCUUAAUUGAUGAACAUUGUUUCAAAUUCGCAAGCACUCCAAGUGUUUGAUGAAUUGUUUAUUCUCUUAAUCGUUGUAAUGAUACUGUGUCUUAUUUGCUCCCUGUAAAUUAAAUCUGACCAUAGCAUAGAUUAGACUCUCCUGAUAAUAGCAUUUUCCCUAUUUCGUGUUAUACUGCAAGUGGCAGCAACUAUACUAUAUAUUUGGCCACUAUAUAUUUAUAAGCAAUGAAUUUAGUAUUUCAUUGUAAUGAAUUUUUUGUUUGAUCUAUUCAAGUUCAAUUCCCUGAGUAUAUUGUGAUCUUUUCAGGUUCUUGUAGUGUUAUAGUAUAUAUAGAAAGUUUUGUUUGUUAUUCUUGUUUAUAGUUGAGUUAGUAGAUUGAAUAUUAAAUCCUAAGAAUUUUUCUGUACAACAUUGUUAGACAGAUAGCUGAUGUUACUAGAAAGCAUAGGUGGAUCAGUGUUAACAAUGAAGUUACAUAUUUUGGUUUAUCUUUUGAGGUGAGUAUUCUUGUUCUCAAUGUUAUCAUCUUUUGAGGUGAGUCAUCAUUGCUUCUAAGAAAUUUGUUCACUCCAUUAUUUUUGCAGUAAGUUUCUGUAAUUUACCUCUAUAAAUAAUCUUGAACUUGGAUAAUUAUGAAAGUUCUGUGAUGAUUGAUUUUCUUGCAUAUUCUAUAAUCCAAAGUCCAAAUAUCAUGAGUCUGCUUCAUAUGAAGCUCCUUCUAACUUAGGUUCAAAUUCUUGCAUAUUCUAUAAUUCCUUGGAUCUAGUAGCUUGUAGAAUUUUAUUAUUUAUUGAUAUUAAUUAUCUGUCUUUUCUUUUUCCAUAGAAUGUCAAAGUGUAUUUUAGAAGAGGUAGAGCUAGAGAGAUGCUUGGCUACUAUACCGAUACAAUUGAUGAUAAAAUCUUUCAUUCAGUUUAGACUUGUGUGCGACAAGGAUCUGCAUAGGCUACUAUAUUUCUUUGUUUACAUCUUUGUUCGAUUGUUGCUCUUAUUUUCAUAUGAAAAUUUCAGAAUUUUCCAAAUCAUAGGUGAACUAUUUUUCUUUGCAGAUUUUCAACAUGCCUUGGUACUUGAACCAACCAACAAAAUGGCAUCCUCCACUGCCGAAAGAUUGAGGAAACUAUUCCAAUAGAUAUAUCAUUCUGUCCACUAUAUGUGAUGGCUUUGGUAAGUCGUCGUUGGCUGCCAAAUGCUUCCAAAAACAUGAAGGUUUUGAACCUACUCAUUUCUUGUUAUAGUAUUCAUACAACAUUGUGUUAGGUGGUGUCAGCAAAAUUAUACUUAUUCUUUGUUCUUUAAGGGAAGAAAAGCUAGUAUUGUUCAAGUUCUACAUCACUAGUGUUAUUGCCAAAAGUAAUAUAAGGUCAUUAGGAUUGUAAUGUACUACAAGUAAUGUGAGGUACAGUGCUCAUGACUAAAGCUUAAUAUUUUGAUUUUGAGAUGAUUGGUCUUCGAAUUUUACAAUAAAAGCACUCACCAUUGGUGUCUGAAGGUAUCUUACUACCUUGUGGUAAGCUCUCAAAUGCCUAUUUUUUAUCUUA
Molecule: non-coding RNA, 2010 nt
Organism: Arachis ipaensis
Lineage: Eukaryota; Viridiplantae; Streptophyta; Magnoliopsida; Fabales; Fabaceae
Source: RefSeq, a predicted model, not a curated record